UUGAUAGCUUUCAUCUAUUCA
Caenorhabditis elegans is the source of this 21-nucleotide non-coding RNA. The record is from Ensembl. NCBI's taxonomy places the organism in Eukaryota, Metazoa, Nematoda, Chromadorea, Rhabditida, Rhabditidae.